Molecule: long non-coding RNA, 589 nt
Organism: Panicum virgatum (switchgrass)
Lineage: Eukaryota; Viridiplantae; Streptophyta; Magnoliopsida; Poales; Poaceae
Exons: 2
Source: RefSeq, a predicted model, not a curated record
UCCCACCGUCACGCGGAACCAUUCGCACCAGAUCGCUAGGGUUUAAGCGCCUCGCCGCCUCCGGAGCUCGAACCCCUCGCCGCCUGCCGUAUUCGGAGAAAGCGAAUCGAGAUGUUCCUCGGCUCGAUCCCGCGGCGCCCGAGCAAGGAAGCCGCGUACAAGCAGCUGCGGUCGCACCUCACCGUCAUGGCCGCCUGCGUCGCCGUCAUCCGCGCCGUCCCCUACGUCCUCCACUUCCUCACCCGCGACGCCGACGUCCAGGAGCUCAAGCUCGAGCUCUAGAGCCUCCCGCCCCCAUGCCGACCCCGCCCCCGUCCCCACAAGGUGCUACUGGAAUGGGCCGAUCGUCUCUUCCAAGUUACGUCCAGCGUUGAGUUUCCUAUGUGUACCGGUCAAAACAUGGGUCCAGUGACCACAGAGAGUGCUUGCUUAAACUCUUUCUACACUCUUUAAAAGUCGGCGACGGUACCUGUUAGCUUUGGUGUUUCCGGAGACUGGUAUUCUGUUUUGCGUGGCUGUAUUAUGAUGUAGUCACAUUUCAUUGGGAGUUUCCGGAGGAGCUCAUGACCCACCGUGCUGUGCCCCCCUA